Molecule: ribosomal RNA, 468 nt
Filed under: uncultured bacterium
Lineage: Bacteria
Description: partial 16S ribosomal RNA
Rfam family: Bacterial small subunit ribosomal RNA
Source: RNAcentral
GACGAACGCUGGCGGCGUGCUUAACACAUGCAAGUCGAACGGAAAGGCCCUGCUUUUGUGGGGUGCUCGAGUGGCGAACGGGUGAGUAACACGUGAGUAACCUGCCCUUGACUUUGGGAUAACUUCAGGAAACUGGGGCUAAUACCGGAUAGGAGCUCCUGCUGCAUGGUGGGGGUUGGAAAGUUUCGGCGGGUGGGGAUGGACUCGCGGCUUAUCAGCUUGUUGGUGGGGUAGUGGCUUACCAAGGCUUUGACGGGUAGCCGGCCUGAGAGGGUGACCGGCCACAUUGGGCCUGAGAUACGGCCCAGUCUCCUACGGGAGGCAGCAGUGGGGAAUAUUGCACAAUGGGCGGAAGCCUGAUGCAGCAACGCCGCGUGCGGGAUGACGGCCUUCGGGUUGUAAACCGCUUUCGCCUGUGACGAAGCGUGAGUGACGGUAAUGGGUAAAGAAGCACCGGCUAACUACGUG